Molecule: microRNA precursor, 102 nt
Filed under: Marmota monax (woodchuck)
Lineage: Eukaryota; Metazoa; Chordata; Mammalia; Rodentia; Sciuridae
Source: RNAcentral
AGAGGAUAGCUGGGUCAAAUGGUGGUUCCAUUCCCAAUUUUCCAAGAAAUUUCCAUACUGUUUUCCAUAUUGGCUGCACCAAUUUGCAGUCCCAUCAGCAAU